UACGGGGGGGGCAAGCGUUGUUCGGAAUUACUGGGCGUAAAGCGCGCGUAGGCGGAUCUGCAAGUCGGGGGUGAAAUCCCGAGGCUCAACCUCGGAACUGCCUUCGAUACUGCGGGUCUCGAGUCCGGGAGAGGUGAGUGGAAUUCCUAGUGUAGAGGUGAAAUUCGUAGAUAUUAGGAAGAACACCAGUGGCGAAAGCGGCUCUCUGGGACGGUACUGACGCUGAGACGCGAAAGCGUGGGGAGCGAACAGG
RNAcentral lists this ribosomal RNA (253 nucleotides) under uncultured bacterium. RNAcentral's name for it is "partial 16S ribosomal RNA". It matches the Rfam family "Bacterial small subunit ribosomal RNA", at positions 524 to 776 of the family's 1533-position model. The record is from RNAcentral.